This 497-nucleotide ribosomal RNA is filed under the name uncultured bacterium. RNAcentral describes it as "partial 16S ribosomal RNA". It matches the Rfam family "Bacterial small subunit ribosomal RNA", at positions 28 to 507 of the family's 1533-position model. The record is from RNAcentral.
GAUGAACGCUGGCGGCGUGCCUAAUACAUGCAAGUCGAGCGAACAGACGAGGAGCUUGCUCCUCUGACGUUAGCGGCGGACGGGUGAGUAACACGUGGAUAACCUACCUAUAAGACUGGGAUAACUUCGGGAAACCGGAGCUAGUACCGGAUAAUAUAUUGAACCGCAUGGUUCAAUAGUGAAAGACGGUUUUGCUGUCACUUAUAGAUGGAUCCGCGCCGCAUUAGCUAGUUGGUAAGGUAACGGCUUACCAAGGCAACGAUGCGUAGCCGACCUGAGAGGGUGAUCGGCCACACUGGAACUGAGACACGGUCCAGACUCCUACGGGAGGCAGCAGUAGGGAAUCUUCCGCAAUGGGCGAAAGCUUGACGGAGCAACGCCGCGUGAGUGAUGAAGGUCUUCGGAUCGUAAAACUCUGUUAUUAGGGAAGAACAAAUGUGUAAGUAACUAUGCACGUCUUGACGGUACCUAAUCAGAAAGCCACGGCUAACUACGUG